This 199-nucleotide non-coding RNA is filed under the name Candidatus Sulfotelmatobacter kueseliae. The record is from RNAcentral. Lineage: Bacteria; Pseudomonadati; Acidobacteriota; Terriglobia; Terriglobales; Candidatus Korobacteraceae.
GAAUUUGUUUGGAGCGCGCGUCUUUGCCGCUCGGCAAAGACUGGGAAGCGGGUGAAAGUCCCGCGCUGCCGCGCAACUGUAAGCGAGGAAACUGCCUCCGGCCACUGGGAAAUCCCGGGAAGACCGGAUGCGCUGCUGGAUUUUGUAAUUCAUCCUCACUCGCAAAGCCAGGAGACCGGCGCGCUCUGUCACCGUCAAC